UAGGGAAUCUUCGGCAAUGGACGAAAGUCUGACCGAGCAACGCCGCGUGAGUGAAGAAGGUUUUCGGAUCGUAAAGCUCUGUUGUAAGAGAAGAACGGGUGUGAGAGUGGAAAGUUCACACUGUGACGGUAUCUUACCAGAAAGGGACGGCUAACUACGUGCCAGCAGCCGCGGUAAUACGUAGGUCCCGAGCGUUGUCCGGAUUUAUUGGGCGUAAAGCGAGCGCAGGCGGUUAGAUAAGUCUGAAGUUAAAGGCUGUGGCUUAACCAUAGUACGCUUUGGAAACUGUUUAACUUGAGUGCAAGAGGGGAGAGUGGAAUUCCAUGUGUAGCGGUGAAAUGCGUAGAUAUAUGGAGGAACACCGGUGGCGAAAGCGGCUCUCUGGCUUGUAACUGACGCUGAGGCUCGAAAGCGUGGGGAGCAAACAGGAUUAGAUACCCUGGUAGUCCACGCCGUAAACGAUGAGUGCUAGGUGUUAGACCCUUUCCGGGGUUUAGUGUCGCAGCUAACGCAUUAAGCACUCCGCCUGGGGAGUACGACCGCAAGGUUG
RNAcentral lists this ribosomal RNA (550 nucleotides) under uncultured bacterium. RNAcentral describes it as "bacterial SSU rRNA". It matches the Rfam family "Bacterial small subunit ribosomal RNA", at positions 355 to 896 of the family's 1533-position model. The record is from RNAcentral.